GGGCGCAUAGCUCAGCUGGAUAGAGCAACAGCCUUCGAAGCUGUGGGUCGGGAGUUCGAAUCUCUCUGCGCUCGCCA
RNAcentral lists this transfer RNA (77 nucleotides) under Rhodospirillaceae bacterium. RNAcentral's name for it is "tRNA-Arg". It matches the Rfam family "tRNA". Rfam says of the family: Transfer RNA (tRNA) molecules are approximately 80 nucleotides in length. Their secondary structure includes four short double-helical elements and three loops (D, anti-codon, and T loops). The record is from RNAcentral. RNAcentral also lists the same sequence under 2 other names. Lineage: Bacteria; Pseudomonadati; Pseudomonadota; Alphaproteobacteria; Rhodospirillales; Rhodospirillaceae.